AGCAGGGUUUUGUUUUGUUUUUACUCUUUAAAUACUCUUUUACUUUUUCAGACAAGAAAGUUUGGUUGUGGAGGAUAUAACAUUAAUCAGGUAAAAGAAUUCCCCUAAGAUGACUUGUAAAAUCCCUUUCGACUCAAAUAUAUCACUUUUUUUUUUCUAGGUAGAAAUUGCCUUCAUUUCAGGAAGACCCUUCACUCCCCAAACAAUUUGAAAUGUUGGUUCAGGCUCUGGGAAUUCCAAUGACCUACAGACUAUGGGAUACUGAGAAACCCUUGGCAAGGAUUUUUCAGUGAUGGCUCUAGAGGAUUCAACAGGUGCACAAUUUUGACCUUACACAGUUAUGACAUGAUUUCUUUCAAGUCUUGAAGCAUUACUGCACAGUUAGUAGAAGUGUAAAAGAGAAUCCUAGGAAAUCAGAAACUGGGAAAAGAAAAGUUAGAACAAAAAAAUAUUUCAUUUGGUUAUUCAGAAAGAAGCAAGGAACUCUAUCCUUUCAGGUCUUCGGUCAUUCACCUUGAAAUGAUCAGUGCCUGAACUAAGGUUAUCUUUAUUUUCUGCUCUUUGGAGUGAUUUUCAGGGUCAUAUUUGUUGAUUUUGAGGAUGGUUUGUUCUGACCUGGUGUUUAUUGAGGUCCUGAGAUGCAAAUUGAGAGUAGGUAGAAUGGUGCUAGUGGGAAUGUUUGCUAAGGUAGGUUUUCAGUCUAAAUCAUCCAGGGAACUUUCAUAGGUUAUCUUGUUUUCCUUUUCUUUUUUCUUUUUUUUGGUUCUAUUUAACCAGGGAGAUUAAAGCAUAGAGUAACCCAGCGACUGUGUGGAAAAGAGGUGAGAUUAUCUUCUUGGAUGGCCUUAAUUAACUUCAUCAUUAAAUACACCUUGUGCUUCCCUAAACAAAUGUGGGCAAAGCUUUUGUCUUUCCUUUGGUUCAGUGUAUAGUCCUGGAAACUGGACUUGUGUUCCAUUGUUGUUGUUGAGGGCUACUCAGUAGGUCUGUGGAUAGAGUGCUGGGCCUGGAACCAGGAAAACUAAUCUUUCCAAGAGUUCAAAUCUGGCUUGUGACACUUAUUAUCUGUGUGACUUUAGGCAAGUCACUUAAUCCUGUUUGCCUCACUUCCUCAUUUGUAAAAUAAACUCGUUAAGAAAAUAGCAAACUAUUCUAGUAUUUGCCAAGAAAAUCCCAAAAGAAGUCACGAAGAAUUGGACAUAACUGAACAACAACAAACCCCUGGAAACUGGCCUGUAUCUUCCUAAGUGAUUCAAUUAAUCAACUAAAUAUAUGUGUGCUUAUUAGCACCCAAUAGGGUUUUUUUGGUGCAGUUUUUCUAGAAAGAUAGAAUUGGUCUCUGCUUUCUGAGGAGUUUAUAAUCCCACUGAGUAAAACAAUUAUUAGAGAACAAUAUAGUGUGAUAUAAGCAGGUGUUUAACUGUGUGAAGGCUUCAGAGUCCCAAGAAGGAAAACUUUAGGGAGGGCUGUUGUUUGUCCCUUGUUUUUCAGAAGGACCGAUGACAUCAUGGGAUGCUGUCCUGACCUGUGCAUGAAUUGAAUUUAUGUGAGAAGCCAUUGUGCAAAGACAUCAGUCUCACUCUUGCUUUCAGAAUCAUCAAAGUCCAAAAGCCCUGAAUCUGAGGAUGGCAUCCUCUAUGAAUACUACUAAAAGACAAAGCAGGAAGAAUCCAUACUCGUUAUCUGAACAGCUCACUCCUUUGUUUUGGUUGUCAGCUGUAUGUUCCAGACAAUUCCUCCAGACUAAGCAUAAAGCCCUCCACUUUAAAAGUGUCCAGUCUGCAAGACCACCAGGUGUGAAACUGCUCCCUACGGACCCACACAAGACGGAUACAGACAGUUACCUUUCGAAGAGCAGUCGGCAGAAUUGCUGAACUAAUUAAGAGAAACCAGUCAUAGUGUGACUAUGUUGCUAGUGAUCAAAGCCAGAGCAGGGCUGACCCA
This is a non-coding RNA of Monodelphis domestica (gray short-tailed opossum), 1944 nucleotides long. Lineage: Eukaryota; Metazoa; Chordata; Mammalia; Didelphimorphia; Didelphidae. The record is from RefSeq and is a predicted model, not a curated record.